RNAcentral lists this ribosomal RNA (846 nucleotides) under uncultured bacterium. RNAcentral describes it as "bacterial SSU rRNA". It matches the Rfam family "Bacterial small subunit ribosomal RNA", at positions 28 to 896 of the family's 1533-position model. The record is from RNAcentral.
GAUGAACGCUGGCGGCGUGCCUAACACAUGCAAGUCGAACGGAGCCGGUUUUCGGAUCGGUUGAGUGGCGGACGGGUGCGUAACACGUGGGUGACCUGCCCUGGAGUGGGGAAUAAUUCCGCGAAAGCGGGACUAAUACCGCAUAGCCUGGUCCGUUCAGUCGGGUCAGGAAAGUCGCAAGACGCUUCAGGAUGGGCCUGCGGCGGAUUAGCUGGUUGGUGGGGUAAUGGCCUACCAAGGCGAUGAUCCGUAGGGGGCGUGAGAGCGUGACCCCCCACAUUGGCACUGAGACACGGGCCAAACUCCUACGGGAGGCAGCAGUGAGGAAUAUUGCACAAUGGGCGCAAGCCUGAUGCAGCAACGCCGCGUGCGGGAUGAAGGCCUUCGGGUCGUAAACCGCUUUUCUGAGGGACGAGACAGGAUGGUACCUCAGGAAUAAGUCUCGGCUAACUACGUGCCAGCAGCCGCGGUAAAACGUAGGAGGCGAGCGUUAUCCGGAUUUACUGGGCGUAAAGCGCACGCAGGCGGCUUCGUGCGUCGGCUGUGAAAGCUCCCGGCUUAACUGGCAGAGGCCAGUCGAUACGGCGAGGCUUGAGGUUGGGAGAGGGGUGCGGAAUUCCCGGUGUAGUGGUGGAAUGCGUAGAUAUCGGGAGGAACACCAGUGGCGAAAGCGGCACCCUGGCCCACACCUGACGCUGAGGUGCGAAAGCGUGGGUAGCAAACAGGAUUAGAUACCCUGGUAGUCCACGCCGUAAACGAUGUCAACUAGGUGUUGGUCGUGUUACACGAUCAGUGCCGAAGCCAACGCGUUAAGUUGACCGCCUGGGGACUACGAGCGCAAGCUUA